CUCAAGGAAGCGCUUUGUCCACGUGGACAGAAAGCGCGCCCUCAAGGACGCAUUUUUUGUCUACGUGGACAAAGCACUUCCUUGAGG
Gossypium hirsutum (cotton) is the source of this 87-nucleotide non-coding RNA. NCBI's taxonomy places the organism in Eukaryota, Viridiplantae, Streptophyta, Magnoliopsida, Malvales, Malvaceae. The record is from Rfam.